RNAcentral lists this ribosomal RNA (253 nucleotides) under uncultured bacterium. RNAcentral describes it as "partial 16S ribosomal RNA". It matches the Rfam family "Bacterial small subunit ribosomal RNA", at positions 524 to 776 of the family's 1533-position model. The record is from RNAcentral.
UACGGGGGGGGCAAGCGUUGUUCGGAAUUACUGGGCGUAAAGGGCUCGUGGGCGGCCAACUAAGUCAGACGUGAAAUCCCUCGGCUUAACCGGGGAACUGCAUCUGAUACUGGAUGGCUUGAGUUCGGGAGAGGGAUGCGGAAUUCCAGGUGUAGCGGUGAAAUGCGUAGAUAUCUGGAGGAACACCGGUGGCGAAGGCGGCAUCCUGGACCGACACUGACGCUGAGGAGCGAAAGCCAGGGGAGCAAACGGG